This is a long non-coding RNA of Bos taurus (domestic cattle), 5964 nucleotides long. The record is from Ensembl. Lineage: Eukaryota; Metazoa; Chordata; Mammalia; Artiodactyla; Bovidae.
GGUUAAAGACAUUUCCCCUUAAUAAGCUAGCAGGUGGAGCCCUUCUGGCCUAAGGAUCAGAACAGUCUUGGGCCUGGAGCAGAGGGAGAGCACUCUCGUGUGAGUGGGCAUAGGGGAAGUCCAUAUGAUUCACGUGUGGGACGCACAGAGAGCAAGAGAGGAGCCACUCUUGCGUCCUGGGCCCAUGCAGUUUAAAUGGUUGCAGUGAUGUUAAAAUUUGUUUGCAUUGAGACAAGGAGAAAAACAAAACCCAGAGACUUUGAACACAUGUUUCUUAGGUUCACGUCAAGCUGCCUUCGUGAUCCUGCACGAGCCCUUUCAUCUCAUGGUAGCUGGUGAAGAGAGAGACGUGAGAUGGAGCAGGCAGAGGUCUUUUGCAUCCAUCAGGAACUUUCAUGUGAAGGAGUGGAAAGUGAGGUUGGAGAUGGUGGACAGGAGAGAGCCUUGUGAAUGGCUGCUCCAGAUGUUUCUCCUUUGCUGGGUCUUCAGCUCGGGGGCCACGUGGCAUUCAUCCUGCUUCCCUCCUGGGGUCCCUCCUUGCGGGCUCUUCACCCCACCUUCAGAUCUGGGCGGCUUUAGCCAUGACCCAGAAAAGGAGCAGCCUGCAGCCAGGAGAGCCACCACUACCAGACUCUACCUGACAGCUCCCUUACGCAUUUCCUCUCCUCUCUGAAGAUUUGAAGUCUGGGUCACGUUGUCAGAGAAAGUGGGAGACACUCGGGGAGUCUGGGGCACUGAUUUAUGAUCAUAUCCAGGGGAAAAACAAGCCCGAGGUCAUCCCAUCCCACCAGCCCAAGGACUGCCUGAGGAUGACAGUGGACACAAUAAUUUCUGCGUGAGAAAUGAAAUUUGAUGUCUCAAGCAUUUCAAAUGCUUCGGGAGCAGAUAGGUGCUUCUCGGAGAAGGCUGGGUUGUCUGUCUACCGUGAUGGCGAGGUGUUCUUGCUCUCUGAUGUAUCCCCAGCUCCCACAGGCACUGAGGAAGUGUCUGCUGGGGGGAUGGAUAAAUUGUGUGUGACCUGAGUUCUCCGGGGACUCGUGAGCCUGUGUGAACAAACGGGAUGGCCUCAGUGAGACCCUUCGAUUUUCCCUUUUCCUGAUCCUGCUCCCAAACUCGCUGUGGUUGUUUCCAUGGCUCUCACCAUGGCUCACUCUGACAUGAAACGGGUCUUGAGCUUUUGUGGUUUCUUACCUGUUCUUGUCUGCCCCUCCAUCCCCACUGGCACCUGUCACUCAUGCCAUCUUGUCGGGGCCCCUUGUUACAGCUGCUGGCCUCUGAGAGCGCUGUCACCCUGCAGAGUGUUCUGGGGUGACCUGACUGGGGAGCAAGCGGCCCAGCUGCCCCCUCCCCGGGCUGCAGCCUCUGUCAGCUAUGGUGUCAGGAGCCGCCUCGUACUGUUGUAGGGCCCCCUGUUCCAGGCAUCACAACGGUGGUGCUGGUGGCCUGAUAGCCUCUCUCCCACGGGUCUGGCCAUGGAGCCACCCUCCUCCUCCCUGGCUGCCUGCCGAAACCACUUCCUCAUUCUUUGGCAGACAGAGAAAAACCAGAUCAACCCUCCUGCAGAGAGACUCCCAGGGGUGCUGACCACUGCUUCUUCAGAAACGGCUCGGCUGUAAGCCCUGAGGGAGGCCCAGGACUCGGGCUCCGGGAGGCCAGGAGCUGCUUGGCCAGAGGCAGGGACUGGGAGAGAAAAACUGUUGAUGUGGGAGAGAGAGGAGAAAAAAAGCAAGAAUGGACAAGGGGAAACAGACAUUUAAGCGUCUGUAAAUGUGCAAGAUUUUCUAUGUUUUACCUAAUUUAAUCCUCAAAAAAAAAUCUGCAAGGUGGAUACUGUAACUCAUGUUUGAGAGAUGAGGAAACCAAGGAGUUUAAAUAUUAUUUCCCAGAGAAGGUGGCUUAGAUGUGCAGCCACAAAGGGUUGCCUAAGACUGGAUUCCAGAACUCGGCACAGUUGAGAACAGCUGGGGGCAAGUUCUUUUCAAGAACGUGGGAGGAAGGGGCAGGGCAAAUAUUUGUCUUUAGGGGUGGGGGUGGGGGGGAAGCACAGCCUGGCUGCCGAGAAGCGCUGAGCUACGUGUGUCCAGCUCCUCUCCCCACUCAUCUAGAAUCUGUGAGGGGACCAGAGUGACUCAUGGGGGUACCUCCACACGGGAGGAAGCACCAAACCCAGACAUGGGAGCCAAGUGGUCCUGUCACCUUCGCUGGGGCUUGUUCUCCUGGCUCAUGGGACUCCAGCCAGGGCCCUGCUUACCCCACGGGGAUGGAGGUGAGCAGCCCACCAAUACAGUCCUGCUCAGUCCUGGAAAUACAGGUGUACUUUCCAGAUCAUUCUGAGCCUGCUGUCGGACAACAUUCAUUUAGCCUCCAGAAGGCUCAGAAAUGAUUCAGAACAUGAUGGGAAUGAGAUUAGCAGCAAAACCACGAUCUACUCAGAGCUGGAAAUUCACCUGACUGUGUUUCCUGUCCCCAGUAACCACAUGAAAAUGUAGGUUUUAUUAUUAUUCAGGGCUGGUGAGGCCAGCAGAUCAAGAGAUGAGUGUCACUGGAAAGAUGGCGUGUUACUCACAGAUCCCAAGAGAAGCGGCAUGCCGUACCUUGUAGGGUCACACGGGGAAGCACCGGUGUGGGUUAGGGGGCCGAGGAGAGAGCCCUUAGUGUGGUUCCUAUGGAAGGAAUCGGUGAGGCAGGGGAAGUGGGCUUAGUGGCAGCUCGUCUGAAUCAUUUCAGUGGGCUCUGGGGCACGGUGCUGUCCCUGGUGGUCUGGUGUGUGGGUUGGGGCAGGUAAAGGGUGGCCCAGAAUGUGAAAGCUGAUAAAGGAGAUGUUUGGUGUGUGGACUGUUCGAAACACAUGCUCUGGGAAUUGGCUAGCCUGGGGAGGGGAAGUCCCUUCAGAGCAAGCAAGGCCUGGAUAUCAAAGCCUCAGAAACAAGUGGUUAAUACAUUUAUGCCCAGUUAGUCUGACACAGCGCAUCACAUGAUAUGCAAGGAAAUCAGACGGCCAAAAGUAAAGUGCCAGCCAAACAGAGAGGCUCCUAGUUUUAUUCUUUUCAAGGAGAUGGUCAAAUAUCCUUUUUUUUUUUCAGUUUUAAUAUUUUAAGUAUAGCUGAGUUUUAUGUUUGUGUUAAUUUCUGCUGUACAGCAAAGUGAUUUUGUUAUGCAUAUGUUAUACAUUCUUUUUAAAAUGUUCUUUUCCAUUAUGGUUUAUCAUAGGGUUAGAUCCCUGAGUCAGGAAGAUCCCCUGGAGAAGGAUAAUGGCAACCCACUCCAGUACUCUUGCCUGGAAAAUCUCAAGGACGGAGCCUUGUAGGCUACAGUCCAUGGGGUCACCAAGAGUUGGACACGACUGAGUGACUUCAUUGUCUUCCACUUUUAUCAUAGGAUAGUGAAUAUAGUCUGUGCUAUGCAGAAGGACCUUGUUUGUCCAUCCUCUGCUAACCUCAGACUCCCACUCCACCCUCCCCAACCCUCUCCCACUCAGCAACCACAAGUCUGUUCUCUGUGAGUCUGUCUCACAUGUACGUUUGUUCCUAUCAUAUUUUAGGUUCCACGUAUAAGGAUGUCAUGAAAUUUGUCCUCUUUCUGACUUACUUCACUUAGUAUGAUAAUCUCUGGUUGUAUCCAUGUUGGAGCAAACGGCAUUAUUUUGUUCUUUUUUUGGCUGAGUAAUAUUCCAUUGUGUCCAUGCACCACAUUUUCUUUACCCAUUCAUCUGCUGAUGGACAUUUAGGCUGCUUCCAUGCCUUGGCUAUUGCGAACAGUGCUGCCGUGAACAUAGGGACACACGUAUUGUUUUGAAUCAUAAUUUUGUCUGGAUACAUGCCCUAGAGUGGGACUGCUGGAUCACAUGGCUGAAACAGCGUUUGUUAAGCACAGUCAAGCCGGUAGAACAGUCACCAUAAACCUGGGAAGCAUUAGCAGUUGGAAGCUAGUGCUGCACAUAAAUGGAGCCUCUUGCUUGUGGUUUUGUGUCCAACACACACACAAGGUAUUAUCCUGUAGUCCCAAGUUUGAUUUUCAGCCUUUUCCCAUGGUCUAGUUCCUGAGAAGACAUUAAAGUCCAAAGAUUAAGUUACUUUGCCCUUGUAAAUUGAAGUACAAUGAAACCAAACCUCACAGAUGUUGAAAUCAAGGUCUGUGUUUCCUCCUCAUCAAUUCCUUCCUCCCUAGUUCCAGCAGGAAGACUCCUCUGUCUGGGAAGGGGACCACAGUCCAGGCUGCCUUGUCGUCUGCAGGGAAAGGUGUGGCUUCUUGGGCCUGUGUCAUCAACUUGACCUCCCACACACCCCUUUAUUUAAAAAGAAAAAAAAAACUAAAAACCCUUUUCUGUUAAAGUAAAGCCGAUUGAUAUUUGGCAAAACUAAUACAAUUAUGUAAAGUUUAAAAAAAAAAAAAAAAAGUACCAGAAAAAAAAAAAAAGUAAAGCCGAUUAAAAUGUUGUGAUAGUUUCAGGUGAACAGCCAAGGGACUCAGCCGAACAUAUACAUGUAUCCUUCCUCCCCUAAACCCCUCUCCCAUCCAGGCUGCCACAUAGCACUGAACAGAGUUCCCUAUGCCAUACAGUGGGUCCUUGUUGGUUAUCCAUUUUAAACAUAGCAAUAUCUACAUGUCCAUCCCAAACUCCCUAACUAUCCCUGUGCCCCCGCUGCCCCGCCACCAGCCACCACAAGUUCAUUCUCUAAGUCUGUGAGUCGUUCCUGUUUUGUAAGUUCAUUUGUAUCAUUUCUUUUUAAAUUCCACACAAGGGAUGGCAUAUGAUAUUUCUCCUUCUCUAUCUGACUUAUCUCACUUUGCGUGCAUGCUAAGUUCUUUCAGUCAUGUCCAAUGCUGUGCCACCUUAUGGACUGCAGCCCGCCAGGCUCCUCUGUCCCCAGGAUUCUCCAGGCAAGAAUACUGGAGUGGGUUGCCGUUUCCUCCUCCAGGAGAUCUUCCCCAACCAGGGAUAGAACCCGAGUCUCUUGCAUCUAACCUGCAUUGGCAGGUGAAUUCUUUACCACUAGUGCAACCUUCACUUUACACACCCUUUGAAAAAUGACCCUGAUAUUAGUACAAGAUUAUCACGUCUCUGGGCCCAAUUACAAGAAAUUGUAGUGAUACCAAGGGAACAUUUCUUGCAAAAAUGGGCACAAUAAAGGACAGAAAUGGUAUGGACCUAACAGAAGCAGAAGAUAUUAAGAAGAGGUGGCAAGAAUACAGAGAACUAUACAUAAAGGAUCAUAAUGACCCAGAUAACAAUGAUGGUGUGAUCACUCACCCAGAGCCAGACGUCCUGGAAUGUGAAGUCAAGUGGGCCUUAGGAAGCAUGACUAAAAACAAAGCUAGUGGAGGUGAUGGAAUUCCAGUUAAACUAUUUCAAAUCCUAAAAGAUGAUGCUGUGAAAGUGCUGCACUCAAUAUGCCAGCAAAUUUGGAAAACUCAGCAGUGGCCGCAGGACCGGAAAAGGUCAGUUUUCAUUCCAAUCCCAAAGAAAGGCAAUGCCAAGCAAUAUUCAAACUACUGCAAAAUUGCACUCAUUUUACAUGCUAGCAAAGAAAUGCUCAAAAUUCUCCCAAGUGAGGCUUCAACAGUACAUGAACUGUGAACUUCCAGAUGUUCAAGCUGGAUUUAGAAAAGGCAGAGAAACCAGAGAUCAUAUUGCCAACAUCCAUUGGAUCAUAAAAAGCAAGAGAAUUCCAGAAAAAACAUCUACAUCUGCUUUAUUGACUAUGCCAAAUCCUUUGACUGUGUGGAUCACAACAAAUUAUGGGAAGCUCUUAAAGAGAUGCGGAUACUAGAACACCUGACCUGCCUCUUGAGAAACCUGUAUGCAGGUCAAGAAGCAACAGUUAGAACCAGACAUGGAACAGUGGCCUGGUUACAAAUUGGGAAAGGAGUACAUCAAGGCUGUAUAUUGUCACCCUGUUUAUUUAACUUAUAUGCAGAGUACAUCAUGAGAAAUUCUGGACUGGAUGAAACACAAGCUGGAAU